This 484-nucleotide ribosomal RNA is filed under the name uncultured bacterium. RNAcentral describes it as "partial 16S ribosomal RNA". It matches the Rfam family "Bacterial small subunit ribosomal RNA", at positions 30 to 507 of the family's 1533-position model. The record is from RNAcentral.
AUUGAACGCUGGCGGCAGGCCUAACACAUGCAAGUCGAGCGGAUGAAGGGAGCUUGCCCCUGGAUUCAGCGGCGGACGGGUGAGUAAUGCCUAGGAAUCUGCCUGGUAGUGGGGGAUAACGUCCGGAAACGGGCGCUAAUACCGCAUACGUCCUGAGGGAGAAAGUGGGGGAUCUUCGGACCUCACGCUAUCAGAUGAGCCUAGGUCGGAUUAGCUAGUUGGUGGGGUAAAGGCCUACCAAGGCGACGAUCCGUAACUGGUCUGAGAGGAUGAGCAGUCACUCUUGAACUGAGACACGGUCCAGACUCCUACGGGAGGCAGCCGUGGGGAAUAUUGGACCAUGGGCGCAAGCCUGAUCCAGCCAUGCCGCGUGUGUGAAGAAGGUCUUCGGAUUGUAAAGCACUUUAAGUUGGGAGGAAGGGCAGUAAGUUAUUACCGUGCUGUUUUGACGUUACCAACAGAAUAAGCACCGGCUAACUUCGUG